GAUGAACGCUGACAGAAUGCUUAACACAUGCAAGUCAACUUGAAUUUGGGUUUUUACCUUAGGUUUGGGUGGCGGACGGGUGAGUAACGCGUAAAGAACUUGCCUCACAGCUAGGGACAACAUUUGGAAACGAAUGCUAAUACCUAAUAUUAUGAUAAUAGGGCAUCCUAUAAUUAUGAAAGCUAUAAGCGCUGUGAGAGAGCUUUGCGUCCCAUUAGCUAGUUGGAGAGGUAACGGCUCACCAAGGCGAUGAUGGGUAGCCGGCCUGAGAGGGUGAUCGGCCACAAGGGGACUGAGACACGGCCCUUACUCCUACGGGAGGCAGAAGUGGGGAAUAUUGGACAAUGGACCAAGAGUCUGAUCCAGCAAUUCUGUGUGCACGAUGAAGUUUUUCGGAAUGUAAAGUGCUUUCAGUUGGGAAGAAAGAAAUGACGGUACCAACAGAAGAAGUGACGGCUAAAUACGUG
This 467-nucleotide ribosomal RNA is filed under the name uncultured bacterium. RNAcentral's name for it is "partial 16S ribosomal RNA". It matches the Rfam family "Bacterial small subunit ribosomal RNA", at positions 28 to 507 of the family's 1533-position model. The record is from RNAcentral.